CGCACCGCGCAUGCGCCGCCCGGCGGGUGCGGCCCAUGCCGGCAAUGGUUGCGCGUUUGCCCUAGGAUCUACGGCAACCUAGCCGUCACGCGAUCCAAGCGAAGAAAAAAGGCUCCCUAGCAGAAAACAAAACAAGACGUUCCAGAAGGAACAUUCACUCUGUAAAACAAUGGGAGCUGGGCUAGAACAGGCCGUCAUAGGACAGCAAGAAUUCAGUAACUCUUUGGGUGAGUCACUGUGGGCUGGUAGAGUGAACAUUUGCCAGUUUGCCUGUGGCAGUAGAACACCUCUGUUUAACUUGGACACUGGAAGAUGGCUCACUGGUGGAGAAUUUAUUGUCUCAUCUAUACUAGAUCAAGGUUUGUGCAUCUGCUGACAUUUUUACCACUCUAUACUAGAUAUGCCCUGAGAAGGGUUAGAUAAUAUCAAAAUUAAGGCACCAGUGCCCUGCCUAGGCUAACAUUUUUGUUGUUGCUGCCCUGUUUUAAGUGCUUGUUGACAGGAACACAUGGUAAUGUCCUGUUUUGCCUUCCCAACAAUUUCUCAACAGCUCUCUGUGGAACUCACACCUGCAAUUUAGUUGCAUAUUCAUGCCAAAUAUAGUCCAACCUAGAUUAAUUGUCCCUCCUUGCUUUGUUUUUCUUGAGUCAUCAAGACAAUUAGUUACCCAAUUAUUGGCACCUCUACCUCUUGAGAUGCCAGGGAAUGUAAAAAAAAAAUAACAACAACAAACAACAAAUGUGACUGUUCUUGGAAGGCUCUUUAUACAUGGGCACACAAUGGUAUACACAAAAUAUCAACUCUUUCAUACUUGACAGUUAAAUCCCAGAGGGAUAGAUUACGGUAUUGAGGGGAUUGAGAGAAAUGUUUGUGAAGAUGGAGAAUGGUUUAACAGAGGUAGAGCUGUGGGCUCCAUCUGAUGUCCAGGACCUGAAGUGAGUGGGGAGGUCUAGGGUCCUGGCAGCUGCAGGCUCCAACUGCAUGCAGAGGGGAAAGGAGCCAGAAGUUGGAACCAAGAGGGGUGUACGGUCCUGGCAGCCACAGAGAAAGCCUCUUUUGCCAAAGCAGGCCAUUGAAUGUCAUACCAAGAGAAGAAACAAAACCCUUAAUUCUAUGUUACUGACAGGCAAGGCACUUAAAAAACCACCCUGUUCUGUGUGUUCUAGCAAAGAAAAGAGAGACCCUGUUCAAGAAGAAGAAAGUCAUUGACAAAGAUGGAUAGCAGAGGGUAAGUUUAAGGAAUGGAGAGACUGUGUGACUUCAGCAAAGCCUGCAAGGUAGAGGACAGCAGUGAGACUUACUCAAAAUAAGUCUCCCCUCAAGGUGGUACCAUUGGGAAUCAUUCUGUGUGUGAAUACAGAAUGUAUUUCACAGGUACUAGGAACCCAUACAGUGAUCAACAGCAUAGACUUUUCAUACUGUAAAUGAGGCCUAUGUCAGGUAUAAGAUAAGACUAUUCCAUUGGAAGUUAAAUCCAGGCAUCUUGAUCUUUAUUAAUGCAGACUAAGUCAGACAUUUUUACCAGUUGGUAGAAGGCUCUGAGUGACAAACUGAGAGGCCCCCAUUACCCAGUCAGAAUAUGACUCCAAACCAUCCUCGAAUAUGUUUAUCUAACCUUCCAAAUGAAAUAGUUAGGUUUUCUAGGCAGUGCCUCUUUCUACAGAUACACAUAAAUAUUUCUAAUGGUGUAAAAGGUUUGUGUUCUUAAGAUAAAAGAAGUUGCCAGAUUCUAUGAUAGCAAUGUCUGACUGUUCAGCGUGCCAGAAGAGCAUAGAGGGGGGGAAAACAAAUCUUGCUGAUUUUUAAAGCAAAUGGAUAUUCCUUGCUAAGUGUUUACAGGGCAAAUUUAACCCCAUACCUGUCAUGGUGGGUGUAGCUUCCAAGGAAAUAAAUAUGUAUUUUCCACAUAUAGAUUUUCUCUCCUAGUAUUUACUCUGUAAGUACAUUACUACUACAUUUUUGUGUUGUGAAGAUUCAUUGACUAGAUCCCUUUGAAGCUGAAAAAUACUAUAUAACCUGGCUUGUUGGUCUAGGGGGAUGAUUCUUGCUUUGGGUGUAAAAAGUCCUGCAUUCAAAUCCCAGACAAGCCCACUGGUCAGUCACCUGGCUGGGGUCACCUGACCCCAGAUGUCUUUCCUGCUCAUGCGGAGGGCUGUACCCGAUGAUCCUUCAGGGUCCCUUCCGAUUCUAUGGUAAGUGCCAGUUCUCAUAAUUAGUUAAAUGCUUCAUCUUGUCACCUUCAUACGUUUUGGUUCCUCCAAGAGAAGUUUUUUUAUUAAACAUAAAAAAUACCUGCAAUGGGGUCUUAGACACCUAAUGGUAUAACACAAAUAUUUGCCAAAAUGUAACACAGGCAUUCUUUUUACUCCAUUAAAAAGAAUAAAUUAAACCAAGACAUAUUUUAAGUAAGAUUAAACUGGAUUUGCGUCAUGGAAAAAGACUGAGGAAUGGAACAACACUACCAAAGUUGAUAGUCUUUCAUGAGGUCAGAGGAGAGAAUUAAACUGGCUAACUAUAAAUCAAAGAGUACCCAAGGCAUCCCUUGAUGCAGUUGAAAAUGGCUUUGUUCCAUAGUUCCCUGGAAGUGAAAGAGUUGAAAUUAAAACAGGUUUUCUGUCUCUAUCUCAUAGUUUAAUACACAGUACUUAUUUUGAAAGGUUGUUUUGUUUUUUGUUUUUUACAAAAAAAAUGGGUUUUUUACCCCAUAAAAUCUCCUGUUUUCUCAACCUCUCUCAGAUUACUCCAUGGUGUAUAACACAUGCUGAUCAGUGGUUUAUUAGUUCAACGCUGGUGGGAAAAAAAGCAUGUCAUAAACACAUGUUUGUUAACAUAAUCAUGAGAUGCAGCUACUUUUCUGUCUCUGUUGCCUCUUUUAAUUCCUUCAUGGUGAAAAAGAACCCUGGCCCAAGCUGGAAGGUCUUACCAGAGCUCAUUGGCUAUGUCAGCAGCAGCACACGCUGUUCUUAGAAAGCAUGCACAGGGCUGUGAAUGGAAAGCUGCAUAUUCCCACAAGCCUUUCAUGAGUUAUAGUUGGAAAACCUAUCUUUGAACUGAAAUUAUAACAGCUCCCUCAAACGUUAUAUUACCAUAUAUAUAAUGUGAGUGAAAUGCUUUUCUGACCAAUUGUAAAAAAACCCAAAAUAUUUGGACAAUCACUAAGGAGGUGACUAAAUGGACAGUUAUGGAGGUACCACCCUUUACAGGUGGGUGGGUGGAACACUUUAUUUUUACCCAGUCUUCCCACAGUGGUCACAUUGCCUGACCAAAUUUAUACUUGCUUUUCCAUUUCGUUCCCUUUUUAAAUCAUGCACAAUUAGACUGCCAGGAGAUCUGUUCAAAUGGCUGAAUCAUUGAGAGUGUCACAGAUGGUGGCAAGGCACUGGGGUGCACCUGCCCCUUUAAGGGUGCAAGCAGCCAGAGAGAAGGCUUGCAGGCAGCAGAGGGGGGCGGGCUGGAGAGUCACCUGACCAGCAGAGGGCCGGCUGGAGCUAUAUAAGCCCAAGGCCUCAGCUGGUGAGGCAGUUCAUCCCUGGGAGCCAUGCAGGGAGGCGAUCCUGGUAGCAGGGUUCCUGAAGUUGCAGUGAAUGGUGUUAACCACUCUGAAAUCCUGGGAGAAGGGAAAGCUUACUUGGGCAGCAAAAAACUGAGUUUUUCCAAGCAAGGAGCUUUUAUUUGUGUUACCCAUCUCAGGGAGUGUUGAGGUGUUUGUGGAGAUACUUUUAUUUAGUGCCCUGGUGGUGCAGAGAACUGGUAGUCCAGGAGAGGAUGAAAGUCAGGCCCAGCAGAGAGUGGGGCACAGCAGGAGUCCCAUGAGCACACUGAAGGGCUAAGACUUGGACCAGCAGGCCCAAGAGCUCAGAGAAGGACCACCAGUUAGACCAGAGGGUCCACAAGUCCAGGAGGGGCUGUGAGCAAGACCAGAGAGUCUGAGAGCCCAGAGAAAGGGUGGGAGUCAGAUUAGAGGGUCCCUGAGCCUAGAGCCCUAAAAAAGGAGCUGAGUAUGCGAGAACCCAGAGAAGGACUGCAUGUGGGAGCAGGGGUACUGAGGGCCCUGGGAGGGGACUGAGCAUGGGACCAAAGAGUCCAAGAGCCCAGGAGGUGGCUGCGUUUGUGACCUGAGGGUCCUGGAGCCCAGAGGCAGCCUGCACAGGUGACCAGGGGCCUGAGAGCCCAGAGACAGGGGCUCAACACAGCGAGGAGCCCAGAGAGAGGCUAUGUAGAAAGCACAUUAGAUGGCAUCAUGGAAUAGUAACACCUGGGAGGCUUGGGGAGUGGUGCAGGAGUGGGACAGAGCCACACAGUUAGUCCUUAAGGCUACAGGUGCCCUGUAGAAGCAGGCUGAGACGGCCUAUUGGAUUUACAGUCUGAGUUAAGAAAAGUGGGGGUCCAAGAGGGACCUGGUGGUGAUUUGUACCAGUGCUAGCUCACCCUAAGGCCCGAGCAGCCUCCUUUAUUUAACCUUGAAAUAAGAACAAAGUGUGGCACUCAAGUGAUUAAAGGAGGUUUACUUUAGGGACAGCUGGGGAAGAGUCGCAUAGCCACCAGGGGGCAUCACGGCUGCCCCUGUGAUGUGAACUUGCCACACAGACCAAAAAUUUUUACUGACUGUCAGCAAAUAAAGAGAGGGAGACGGCACAGUCCUAAUAGAUUCUGACUGUAAAUACCAAACAUUAAUUUUAAAGUCCAAAACAAUACUCAUUAGAUUGUAGAUAGAGGUUCAUAUUCAGAGUCUUUUCACUCAAUCUUUCAGUCUAGUUUUCCCACUUGUAGCCUGUCCUCAUUGUGACCAGUAUGGAGAAAAAACAUGGGUUUGUUUCUUUGUUGCUUCUUUAUGAGAUGUAAAAACAGGAUAAAAUAAUUUUGUCCAUUUUUUUUUUACUCUCUCUUUCUCUCCCUUUCUCUCUUUUUAAUAUUAGAAAAUUAGGUCUUGUCCACCCUGGAUGAUUCAAUGAUUACUAGAGAUUAGUGAAAUAUUGACACCACAAAAGACUGAGCACUGAACAAUAGAGGGGAAAAAAUGUAGUCAGGCCGCUUAAAAUGUCACAUAGUUUUGCUUAUUUAUUUAAUUUAAAUGCAGAAUGAACACUUGGGUCCAGUAUAGAUAGGAUUUAAAGGUGUGAUUUUGGCAUAUAUGAGUUAACGUGUGCUAAUUAGCACAAAAAGCUUAUUGUAGACAAACUGGUAUAAACUAGUAUAGCAUUACUGACUACAGUGGAGCUAUGACAAUCUAUCUUAGCAUAAGAUUUGCCCCACUGUUCAUGUGGAAGUUUGUAUAAGAAACUGACUGUUGUGUGUGGUGGGAGAGAGUAUAGGGCUGAUCACAGAUAGCUAAAUUGCAAAAAUUUCCCGUAUGAUAUAUUCAUUAGGAUUUUAUAUUGUGAUCAUUAUCUUGAGCGCACACCUCUUCUGCAGUGAAGAUACAGCACUAAUCUGGGCUAGGUCUUGACUGUAAGUGUAUUUCCACUAAUGUUUCAGUGCACAUUCCCCGCAUCUGAGUAUCUGAGACUCCACUUAGGAAACCAGGAAAUAGCACAUUUGACAUUCCUGAUAGAAUCAAAGAGAAGCAGGGCUGGAAGGGACCUCCAAAGGUCAUCUAAUGCAACCCCCUGCCUGAGGCAGGAUCAUCCCUAUCCAAACCAUCCCAUACAAUCAUCAUCUAAACCCUACAUAAAACUACCAUCCACCCUGACACAAUACAGACCUAACACCCUAACCUGCCACAGGUAAAGCAGGGGAACCAUGGCAGCUAACAUCCUGCUUCUAUGAAAUGCUGCCCAAUAUAUGCAUGUGGAUGAUAGGUACUAUAAGGCCUAGGUCCUCAGUGCGUUGACAUCUUCCCUGUGUGUAAUUGGGCUAAGGAGUUUCUAUGGUUACCUCCUUCAGCCACCCCCUGAUGUUGCCAUCUCACCUGCCACUACUUUGAUAUUUCUUCUUUUGAUAUAGGAGUUGGUUCCCUGGGGAGAAUUGCCUUGGACCACCCAGCAAGAUUGCUUUAUGGAGGUCCUCCUCCCCUACAUCCCAUCCUCACCACACCCUUGGUCAUCAAUUCCAGAGUGAAUCACUCAGGGGUAACCCUUUAUCCUGGGAUGGGGUUGUUCUGUCACCUGACUUCGGGGUUGAAGAAACUGAAUCUGGUAGCUUUCUAGUCCAACCCCGAAGCUAGUUCUAAGAAGCGCCACUGCCCUUAAGUCCAAAACCCCUGUCAGGGUCUGCCUUUCAAGUUCAGAAAAAGAAAGAACCCUUAAACAAGGCAAGGAACAAAAAUGGAAAAGCAAAAAAAGCCCCCUAGAGACAGUCCCUUAAGGCUCUGUAGAGCAGUUCUACCCCCAGGUGGGGGCUGAGCCCGUUGGGUCUUCCCAUUCCCUUUUCCAGCACCUACUUAUAGGUGCCAGCUUCUCAUCUGCUACUCCCUUUUUGGUUGAGCUCCCUGCAGUGGAGCUUCUUCAAGCAAUGGUCCUCCACCCACCUGUACCUUAUUCCCAGUGCCUCUGUUCUGCCGGACACACUGCAGACAGGUGUUGAGAGUCUUGUGGCAUCUCAGGCUUCCUGAUGCUGUAGUCUCUUGUUGGUUGCCCCUCUCCAGGACCCAGAAGCACCAAGCCUCCCAUCAGUCCAAAGCAAGUACUUGCUCUGGAAAUGCGGCGUGCCACCUCACGUACCUGCAGCAAUUUUCUUUCCUUCUGGGAUGAGUACAGGCCUCCAGAUGUUUCAGAAGAGCCAGGAAAUAGAACACAGAAUUUCUGUGUCCACUAAAACCCAGUUCCUCUACAUCCGAGGAUAAAGGUACAGAACAUAUGGACAAGAACUCAGCAGGAUAAGAAUGUGGUUGGGUACCCUGGUAGUAGGUGCACACAAAGCCAGUGGCAACUUCUGGUCACUGCUGAUCUUGCAAGCACAAUAACACGGCUAUAGCAAAAGCUGUUUUUUUUCACUCCUCCUUUCCCAUUGGUGCCCCGGGUAGUUACCCCUCUCACUUCACCUUAUGCCACUAAAUGAACUACCAUUAAGAGUGAAGAUCUUGAGAAAGAGAAAGGUAUAGAAGGAAAUCGAGUUAGGCUAUCCAUAAAGGAGAAAAGAGAAAGAGGAAGAAGGACCAACGUGUUAGAGAGCGUUUGGGUAAAAAUAAAACUGGUGCAGGGGGUUGUGUAAAAAGGAAGAGGAAGACAAAAAGGCUUAUGCAGGAAAACAGGAGAGAGAGAAAACAGAACAGAUGGGAGGGAGAGAUUGAAUUUAAAAAAAACAAAGAAAUAAUUUAAUUUAUUCCCCAAAGAUCAAGACAUCACAAUAAAGUGGCUUAAAUUCCUAAAUACUUUUUCAACAUGUCAUUUUCAUAUUAAGCAGUUAUUGCAGUUGUCAUGAGUUGUCUCCUUUAGGAGGAGGUAUACUUUGAUGCUAUUCUUUUAUUUACAACAGAUAUACACAAAGUUCUGCUUCCCUGAACAUAGUAGGAUCUAACAAUAGAGAAUAAUUUAUUUGCUAACUGGUCCAAGCCCCUUUCCUGUCAGCAGUGUACUCCAAAGCUUUCUCUUAUUCAUUUUUUUUCAAGGUAAUAUUACAAGUGUUUUCCAGGCUGUCUCUAGGGCUUCUUCGUUGUGACGUCUCUUCUGCUUUUCUGCCACAUACAUUCAGAGCUCUCUCAAGCAAGAUUCAGUCUCUUGUGUUUGCAUUCAAACUCUUGAGUCCAUAUAGCUCAGAUUGCUUACCAGCCUUGCCUGUGGCUUGUUGGCUUGUUUUCAGCAUGACUCUCUGUUCUACAAAGGAACUAAACUGCUUUUACAGGUAUCCUUAAUGUGCCUUUUAUGCCUACCAGCUUCAAUGGAGUUUUAUCCAGACACCAGCAUAGCAUAUUUCUGGUUGUUGUGUCCAUUGUUCUGUUUCCUUUUAUUCACCUUUUUUAAAUUAUGUAUAUAAAUCUUACCCGGGGUUAAAAAAAAAAAGAAUGUGUAUCCUGUAGAGCUUUAAAGAUUUACAUUGUAAAGUUCUAGCCUACAAUGGCUUGUAUGGCUUUUAAAUGCCCGCAUCUUAGGAGUAGGCAGCUUUGAGCUUACAACUGCUAUUUAAGAAAGUUAAACAAAAAACUUUUUGACCUCUUGAUUUAGACUUUUUAAAUGGAAAAUGCAAGUGGGUAUAUGUUGAGUGUGUAUGUCUGACUCCUAAUUUUAGAACAGAAAGAAGAAAAGAUAGAUAAAGACUAGGUAAAGAGAAAGAAAGGUAGGAUAAUAUUUGGUACUAAACAACAAGGUAGAAUUCUUGUUGACAUACAUCUGUCAAAUGUAUAAUAAACCUGAACUAUGCAUAUAAAGCAGUUAGGCAUCUCUCGGAAGGCUGAUGAGAAUAAUGAACUGCUCAAGCUUUGCUGCCAUAUCCUUAAGGGCAAGGGUUUCAAAUGUAGGGCCCAUGCAGCUCUGACAAGAACCAGGAAUUUGGGGGACAGGAUGAGCAGGGAUGGGGUCUGCUGCUAAAAUCUGAGGUACAGACUGGGGACAUGUGGGUGGUGGGAGGUGAGCAAUGAUUGCUUUAUUAACCCCCACAGCCACUGCUGCAUCUUGAUCUAGCCCAUAAGGAACCCCACAGUCUGAAUUCAGCAAGGACCAGGUGAGUUUGAUAUCCCUGCUUUAGUGUUACCACAGCCAGUUAGUGUAAUUAAGGUCUUAUAACAGUUUUCCUUCUUUUCCUCUACUUUUCUCUCCUAUUCCUUUACUUCUACUUUCUCCCUGGAUGUUUUGUUCUUGUACUAUUUUCCUCUCUUUCAUCUCUGACUUUAUCUUUGAGAUCCUGUCUGAGAAGGUGCUGUGCUCACAGACCAUCAAAGUAUGUCACGCCUGUGUCUUCCCUGCCCACCCUGAUGCAAUUUGGAGUUGUCACCUAGUGGCAGCAACACAACAGCAAGCCCUCCUGGCCUAGUACACUGUGUACAAGCUACCUAUCACCAAGAGAACUGGCAACUUCCAGCGGCAGCUACUGCAUGGGGCUCUGGCCACAGGCACUUUUUAGACCUGGCAAUGCUAGUGGCCUGCCCUUUCUGCAAGAAGGAUGUGGAAGAAACUGUCUUUCAUACCUUCUUGGAUUGCUCCCGGCUGCAGCUGCUCUUUACUGCUCUCAGCACCUUCUUUGGCGUGCUGGACUUGGACUUCUCUGAGACUGUGUACGUCUUCUCUAUCCUGUAAUUAGCAGCUAAGUGGUUCAUGCUUGGCCCCUGGGAGGGUGAAAUACAUUUGCACUUUCAUCACUUGAUUUUAGUAUUUGUGUAAUAAAGAUUUUAAAAGU
Long non-coding RNA from Alligator mississippiensis (American alligator), 9267 nucleotides. RefSeq lists it as uncharacterized. Lineage: Eukaryota; Metazoa; Chordata; Crocodylia; Alligatoridae. The transcript is spliced from 3 exons. The record is from RefSeq and is a predicted model, not a curated record.